This 83-nucleotide transfer RNA is filed under the name Clostridia bacterium. RNAcentral's name for it is "tRNA-Leu". It matches the Rfam family "tRNA". Rfam says of the family: Transfer RNA (tRNA) molecules are approximately 80 nucleotides in length. Their secondary structure includes four short double-helical elements and three loops (D, anti-codon, and T loops). The record is from RNAcentral. Lineage: Bacteria; Bacillati; Bacillota; Clostridia.
GCGGAUGUGGCGAAAUUGGCAGACGCGCAGGUUUCAGGUUCCUGUGGGCAACCGUGCAGGUUCAACUCCUGUCAUCCGCACCA